RNAcentral lists this ribosomal RNA (389 nucleotides) under Salmonella enterica subsp. enterica. RNAcentral describes it as "partial 23S ribosomal RNA". It matches the Rfam family "Bacterial large subunit ribosomal RNA", at positions 1292 to 1681 of the family's 2925-position model. RNAcentral also lists the same sequence under 1 other name. Lineage: Bacteria; Pseudomonadati; Pseudomonadota; Gammaproteobacteria; Enterobacterales; Enterobacteriaceae. The record is from RNAcentral.
GAAUGCUGACAUAAGUAACGAUAAAGCGGGUGAAAAGCCCGCUCGCCGGAAGACCAAGGGUUCCUGUCCAACGUUAAUCGGGGCAGGGUGAGUCGACCCCUAAGGCGAGGCCGAAAGGCGUAGUCGAUGGGAAACGGGUUAAUAUUCCCGUACUUGGUGUUACUGCGAAGGGGGGACGGAGAAGGCUAUGUUGGCCGGGCGACGGUUGUCCCGGUUUAAGCGUGUAGGUGUGUGUUCCAGGUAAAUCCGGUUCACUUUAACACUGAGGCGUGACGACGAGGCACUACGGUGCUGAAGCAACAAAUGCCCUGCUUCCAGGAAAAGCCUCUAAGCAUCAGGUAACAUCAAAUCGUACCCCAAACCGACACAGGUGGUCAGGUAGAGAAUAC